Molecule: long non-coding RNA, 1669 nt
Organism: Erpetoichthys calabaricus (reedfish)
Lineage: Eukaryota; Metazoa; Chordata; Cladistia; Polypteriformes; Polypteridae
Exons: 2
Source: RefSeq, a predicted model, not a curated record
CCCUGACGCUGUCAUGUAAUAUUGAUUGCAGGCUUUUCUGAAACUCUACUCACUGUGAUGCUGAAAAUAAAGCUGCUAUAUAACCACACCUGCUGUCAUGUCUGAAGUCUUCAUCCACAGUUUUUGGCGCCCAAACGUGGGGCAGGAGACGGGCAGCCGACUCCUCGAGCAGGAUCGUCCAGAAGGACCGUAGUGGACCGAUUCCGGCCGGAUUGGACCAGCUCCGGUAACAGUUAGGACUGGCCUGCCUUGGGCGUUUCCUGCGUGGGGAGUCCCUGACCUCCUCCUAGCCGAUACGAGGCACGACUUGACGGGAAUUUCCAGGCAGGUGGACGGAGUCACAUCUUACAGGUCUCCGAGCUUCUCUGAAGGAAGUCCAUGAGCAGGUUAAUCAGGCCUGGAGAACUAAUCCUCUAUCAAAGGACUCCCAGAUUCCGUUAGGAACCUGGAUUCUGGCUAGAGACACUCGAAGGAAACAUUGGCAUCACCCUUGGUGGAGUGGACUGUUCCAAAUUCUGCUGUUGACACCACACGCUGUUAAAGUUGAGGGACUGCCUGCCUGGAUUCACGUCUCACAUUGCAAAAGACUGCCCUGGUCACCUUGACUUUGAUUUUCGGAAACACCACAUCAGUUCAGGUUGAUUUCUGUUCUGUUAUUGACUGUGGGACUGGUCGACAAGUCCAGUGGACCUGGUCUGACAAAUAUGUGUGUGUAACUGUUACAAACUCUGGAUUCGGAAGUAACUGUGAUGAGUGGGAAUGGGAUUUUGCUAAUACUGGAACUGAUGACUGGGGUAUUUAACUGCUGCACCUAUAUCCCUAAUAAUACAGCUCCUGAUGGAUCAAUCACCCAUGCUUUGGCAGAUUUGGCCACUCUCUCUAAUGAACUAGCUAUUGAUUCUGGCAUUUCUAAUCCUUGAGAUCAAUGGUUUAUGUCCACUUUUGGGUCCUGGGGCCAAUGGCUUAAGUCAGUUUUCAUUUCUCUUACAGUUGCUUUUAUCGUUCUCCUGCUUGUAGCUUGCUGUAUUGUUCCCUUGAUAAGAUACAUUGUAUCCAAGUAUUUUACUGCCUCUAUGGCAAAGGCUUACUUUUUACACGAAGAAAAAAUGUUUCAGAUCAGCACAGCCACCCCACACUCCUUCACCCACUCCACUCCUUCCCCCUCUCCUACCCUGUCCCGCUCAACUCUCCCCUAAUCAAGUAUUUUUUUUGUUUGCUCAAAAGGGGGGAAUGUGGAAGAUGAAUGUUCUCUUCGUUCCCUUGUACUAAUCCAUGUCUGAGAAGUCAGCUUUAUGAAACCAUUCAGCAUGCUUUGCUGAGCAAACAGAAAAAAAAAAACAUUUUCUAAUGACUCAAGGUCUAAGCAUUCCACACAUGAGUCUGCCUUAUCACGUUUUCCCUUAGCUUACAUUUGAACGACAUAACAAAGGAGCCAAGAAAUCACAUCGCACAGGGGCAUUUUAGAACUCAAGGAUUUUGUAAAAUAAAAUUGUCGACUGUUGCAUCUCAUAAUGAUAUUAAAUCACGCAUUCUAGGGGUAUAAAAACUUUGCCCCACCCAAGAGACGAGGUUCAGAAGAGCCCUGACGCUGUCAUGUAAUAUUGAUUGCCGGCUUUUCAGAAACUCUACUCACUGUGAUGCUGCAAAAUAAAGCUGCUAUAUAACCACA